AGCAAAAAAGCAUGGGAGGCCUCUAAAGCCAGAAAAGGCAAGAGUACAAAUAAUCCUUUACAGCCUUCAGAUAGAAUGCAGCCCUGAUGGCAGCUUGAUUUUAGCUCUUGUCAGAAUUCUGACCUGCUAAAAUGAAAAAACUUCUAGGGGAAUUGGAUGUGAAAAGUGUCCCUGGUCCUAUGAUCACAAAGAUUUGCAGCAAGGUCAAGACACAGAAGUAACAAAUGCUUCCAGCUUCAGCAAAUGGUGCCCCAUCUUCUGCAUGGGAAUACCCAUUAUUCCAAGCCUGUUUUCGGGGAAAGUGAUAGACAAUGGUGGUGCCCAGGGUGCAGGGAACAAAGGGAACUGGACAGAUGGAAAAUACGCAUUGGGGUUAUAAAAUACAAUUCUGCAGAGGUCCUUUUCCUCAGACACAACCUAGAAAAUGGCAAUGAAAAAGAUAAGGAAAAUUAAAGAGAUGAAAUCCAAGAUCAUUAGAAAGCUGUACAUACUGAUACAGACACCCAGGAACCUCAAAAUCACAGGAUACAAAGGGAGAAAAGCAGUAAUCGACCAGCUAGGACUCAGCUAAGCAGGACAGCAGAGUAAAAUGAGGCUCAAGUGCUAACUUCUGGCAGGUUCUUAGGCUUUGGGACUCCGACUGGCUUCCUUGUUCCUCAGCUUGCAGAUGGACUAUUGAGGGACCUUGUGAUCAUGGAAAAAAACAAACCAACCAACAAACUGAGCCUGAAACUGAUAACACAGAUACGUACAGCAUCAUAUUUAAGUAACCAAUCGGAAUUAUUGCAGUGGAGAUGUUUUAUUGGUGGGAAAUACGGUAUCACACCAUUUCAGACAUCAGGAGAUAAUUAUCCCUGUCUUCUCGGAACCAGCUUCUUCAAAGGAGUCAGGAAUUAUUUAUGAUAGAAACUACUGAAACAAUACUAAGGAGUUCAUAGGUUGCUGAGAAGGUAGCUUCCUGCCCUCUGCUUGAGGAACACGGAUGGAAGAAAGGAGAAGAUCUGGUCAACACAGCUCCUGAAAUGCUGAUUAAGCAUUAUGGGAUUUAAGGUUUCCUGGCCAAGUCUGAGCUAAAAUGUUAACACUCCUGAAGAACACCAUAAAGAAAGAAAAACAAAAACAAAAAAAUUCUCUCGUUUCUUUGCUUCUCAGUCAAUCUUCACACUAGGGUGAGGGAUAUAGGGGUCGUUCUUAUGCUAAGAAAAAGAAACACUGCAUGGUACAGAUCAUAUUUUCUUCACUAAAUUCAACUUUACUUAGCAAAAUAUUCAAGUGUCUUAGCUGAUUCAGAUGGGAUAAUUUAUAAACAGCAUAAAUAUAUUGCUCACAGUUCUUGAGGGUAGGAAGUCCAAAAUGAAGGUGCUGGCAGAUUUGCUGUUUGGUGUGGCUCUCUGCUUCAGAGAUGGCAUUUUCUAUGCG
Molecule: long non-coding RNA, 1419 nt
Filed under: Homo sapiens (human)
Lineage: Eukaryota; Metazoa; Chordata; Mammalia; Primates; Hominidae
Description: HSALNT0318898
Source: RNAcentral